AGUGAACGCUGGCGGUAGGCCUAACACAUGCAAGUCGAACGGCAGCACAGUAAGAGCUUGCUCUUACGGGUGGCGAGUGGCGGACGGGUGAGGAAUACAUCGGAAUCUACUUUUUCGUGGGGGAUAACGUAGGGAAACUUACGCUAAUACCGCAUACGACCUACGGGUGAAAGCAGGGGAUCUUCGGGCCUUGCGCGAUUGAAUGAGCCGAUGUCGGAUUAGCUAGUUGGCGGGGUAAAGGCCCACCAAGGCGACGAUCCGUAGCUGGUCUGAGAGGGUGAUCAGCCACACUGGAACUGAGACACGGUCCAGACUCCUACGGGAGGCAGCAGUGGGGAAUAUUGGACAAUGGGCGCAAGCCUGAUCCAGCCAUACCGCGUGGGUGAAGAAGGCCUUCGGGUUGUAAAGCCCUUUUGUUGGGAAAGAAAAGCAGCAGGUUAAUACCCCGCUGUUCUGACGGUACCCAAAGAAUAAGCACCGGCUAACUUCGUG
RNAcentral lists this ribosomal RNA (492 nucleotides) under uncultured bacterium. Its description in RNAcentral is "partial 16S ribosomal RNA". It matches the Rfam family "Bacterial small subunit ribosomal RNA", at positions 29 to 507 of the family's 1533-position model. The record is from RNAcentral.